RNAcentral lists this ribosomal RNA (647 nucleotides) under Fusarium oxysporum. RNAcentral describes it as "SSU rRNA". It matches the Rfam family "Bacterial small subunit ribosomal RNA", at positions 353 to 933 of the family's 1533-position model. The record is from RNAcentral. Lineage: Eukaryota; Fungi; Ascomycota; Sordariomycetes; Hypocreales; Nectriaceae.
AGUGGCAAGUCUUCCAGUAUGGGGAGCAAAACAGCUAUGGGUCAAGUCCGAUAUCUUUAGGAGAAGUCUUAUUGUGAGGGCGAGUUAUAUAACACCAUAGGACUGGCCGUCCCAUAUGAAAAGAUUAUAUUAGAAUUGAAUGAAGCUUUGUUUAUAUAUUGAUAAUGACAGUAUAUAUAUCGUGUCUUGACUAAUUGCGUGCCAGCAGUCGCGGUAAUACGUAAGAGACUAGUGUUAUUCAUCUUAAUUAGGUUUAAAGGGUACCCAGACGGUCAAUAUAGCUUAUAAAAUGUUAGUACUUGACUAGAGUUUUAUGUAAGAGGGCAGUACUUGAGGAGGAGAGAUGAAAUUUCGUGAUACCAAAGGGACUCUGUAAAGGCGAAGGCAGCCCUCUAUGUAAAAACUGACGUUGAAGGACGAAGGCACAGAGAACAAACAGGAUUAGAUACCCAAGUAGUCUUUGCAGUAAAUGAUGAAUGCCAUAGGUUAGAUGAAUCAAAUAUAGUCUAGGGUUAGUCUAGCAAACUAAUGACCUAUACUAUAAUGAAAAAUAUCUGGUCUAUAAAUGAAAGUGUAAGCAUUUCACCUCAAGAGUAAUGUGGCAACGCAGGAACUGAAAUCACUAGACCGUUUCUGACACCAGUAGU